AGAAUUUGAUCUUGGUCAGGAUGAACGCUAGCUACAGGCUUAACACAUGCAAGUCGAGGGGCAGCAUGGUCUUAGCUUGCUAAGACUGAUGGCGACCGGCGCACGGGUGAGUAACGCGUAUCCAACCUUCCCCUUAGUAGGGCAUAGCCCGGCGAAAGUCGGAUUAAUACCCUAUGUUUUCCGUUGAGAGCAUUUGAAGUGGAACAAAGAUUCAUCGCGUAAGGGAUGGGGAUGCGUCCGAUUAGGCAGCAGGCGGGGUAACGGCCCACCUGGCCUACGAUCGGUAGGGGUUCUGAGAGGAACGGUCCCCCACAUUGGUACUGAGACACGGACCAAACUCCUACGGGAGGCAGCAGUGAGGAAUAUUGGUCAAUGGGCGCGAGCCUGAACCAGCCAAGUAGCCGUGCAGGAUGACCGGCCCUAGUGGGUUAGUAAACUGUCGUUUUGGAGGGGAAUAAAGUCGCCUACGUGUAGGCGUUUGUAUGUACCCUCAGAAUAAGGACCGGCUAAUUCCGUGCCAGCCGCGGC
This 528-nucleotide ribosomal RNA is filed under the name uncultured bacterium. RNAcentral's name for it is "bacterial SSU rRNA". It matches the Rfam family "Bacterial small subunit ribosomal RNA", at positions 8 to 518 of the family's 1533-position model. The record is from RNAcentral.